AGUCACGGCCCCCUGGAGCCCUGCAGGUGAGCCAGCCGCAGCUCCACCAGGACUCCGGGAGCAUCCGGACCUGGGCUCCGGGCUCAGAAGCCAUGACAGUCUCAGAGCAAGCUCUAGUCCAAAGGCCUGCUGGACAGAGCUGCCCCUCUCGGAGGGAGGGCCUCUCCCGACCUGGAGCGAGGCCAGCUGUAAUCAGGAUGCCGAAGGACUGUGUGCUCGCAAUAGCACAGAGGUCAGCAAUGUGGAUGGACCUGGAGAUCAUCAAACUAAGGGAACUUCGAGAAAAAGAAGUCCCAUGUGAUAAGAGAAGUGGGAUCUAAAACUGGAUACAAGCGACAGAAGCGUGGCGUUAAACUCACUCCCACUGAGUCUUGGAGGAUGAGACAGUUGUAUGGCAUUGUUAACUCAAUGGAUACAAGUUGGAGCAAAUUCCGGAAGACGGUGAAGGACGGGGAAGCCUGGCGUGCUGCAGUCCCUGAGGUCUCAAAGGGUCGGACAUGACUUAGCGACUGAACGACAAUCCCUCAUCACACCAUUUAUACACCUACCAGGCUGCCUCUCUCCUCUUCCCUGUUUGUGGAAAUCCUGUCCAUCUUUGAAGCCCCGGGUUACACACAGCCUUGUCCACACAGCCCUCGGUGACUGCUACUUUUCAGGUAGCACUCUGCCCUUGAUGCUUACAGAGUUUCUGCUGAGGGUGGUGAAAGAGCUUUGAAAACAGCAGUGAUCCUUGUUCAACAUAGAGAAUGUACUUAAUGCAACUGACCUGUAUGCUUAAAAUGAUUUAACAUGGCAAAUUUUCUGGUAAAUAUAUUUGACACCAACACAUUUUUUAAAAUAAAAGAAGAGUUGGCAGGGUUUCCCUGGUGGCUCAGUGGUAAAGAGUCCGCCUGCCAAUGCAGGAGACACAGGUUUGAUCCCUGGUCCGGGAAGAUCCCACGUGCCAUAGGGCAGCUAAGCCCGUGAGCCACAGAUACUGAGCGCACACACCAUAGAACCCAGACUCCACCAAAAAAGUCACCACUGUGAGAAGCCCGUGCAUCACAGCAUAGAGUAACCUGCACUCACCGCAACCGGAGAACGCCUGCUCACAGCAAUGAAGACCCAGCACAGCCAACACUAAAUAAAUAAACCGAUAUUUUUAAAAAACAAGAGAGAGAGAAAGCUACAUAGAGUUGUGCUACCUCUGCACAGGGAUCUGAUUUCAAACCCUCCUCCUCUUCUGGGAUUCACCAUCUGUACGUAGGAAAUGGCAACCCACUUCAGUACUCUUGCCUGGGACAGAGGAGCCUGGCGGCUUAGAGUCCAUGAGGUCGUAAAGAGUCGGACAGGACUGAGCGACUGAGCUCGCACCAGGACAGCACUGCCUGCACCCUCGUCUGCCCCCUGCCCCCGACACUGGUCUGGGGCUGCCGUUUUCUGACCCAUCUCUAGAAAAGCAUGAGUAUUGAGGUGAUGUACAAGGCAGUGCUUGGCACACUGUAGAUGCUCAAAAUGUGUCUGUGAAAUACAGAGAAUUCCAGCUCCCUGUGAGACGGACAAAGAAGUGUGAAGAGGGGAUGGUGAGGAGGAAAGAAAAUGGCAUCCCAGAUACUGAAGUUUACAUUCAGCUUUCAAAGAGAGACACAUUUAAAAGAGAGCAUGUAUGGCCCUUAUGUACUUCCAGCCUCUUGGAAUAUCUCUGUGGUUUUAUUUAGAUGAUGCUAAACCUUCAACUGGAUCAGGAAGCUGAUUUUCAGGGAUCUGUAUGAUUGAAUUUAAGAGUGAGCUGCCUGCAAAUCAGACAUGUCCUUGAAUAUUUAAACCUCCUAAGUGAUAAAGGUCCUCCUGAAAAGCACAAAUGAAAAAUGAAAAGAGAGCCUUUCGUGUGAGUAUGAAAAUAGACACACAUCCUUCUGCAUAAGUGACGUUUGGUUAGAUUUCAUGUGGUGUAGAUUUCAUUACUUUGCUUGAUUUUCCUUUAUUUUGUUUGAUUUGGUUUAUCUGGCCACUCUGCACAGCAUGCAGGAUCUUAGUUUCCUGACCAGGGAUCAAAACCAUGCCCCCAGAAGUGGAAGCGCAGAGUCUUAACCACUGGACCACCAGGGAAGUCUCGAUGGUCCUUUAUUAUGGUUUCUCUGUUCUACUUGGAAUAUACUCCGCAGAAACGUUGCACAACUGGCCCUAAAGAUGACUUGCUAAGAGGCAGCUUUUGUAGGUAGGUAGAUUCUAUUAGCAUCACGUCUUUAAUUACACAACAUAUUAUAUACUUCACACAUGUAAUUAUUCAUUUAUGGCAUUAUGCCAUCCUAUAGAUAAACAAAGACUUUGAGAACAUUUACUAGCUUUUCUGGGAGUGUCCCCAAAAGGGUGUAAUUUCCAUUCUAACCAAUAACUAAGAUGGAAACAACCCCAGGAGAAGAUCAUUAACCUGUUGGAGUAAAAGAAGUUCAGGAAUUCCCCUCAUUAAUUUUUUUUGUCUUUCAGUGUAAAAUUGCAGAAAUGUUGAUCACACUCACAUGAACAAAGGACAGUCCUGUGUUGGAAAAACAAAUAUAAACAAUAAAGGAUACAAUCCUGUAUUCAAGGAGCUCAUAAGGUAGCAUGGGAGACUGGCAUUUAUGUAGGUCAUUAAAAUAAAGUCUGAUAAAGACACAAAAAGAAGAGAGGGGUUGAAGGAUGGUGAUGGUCUUCAUGGGGGUUGGAAAAAUCAAAACCAAAUGCUGAAGAAUGAAUAGGCAUUUUCAUGGCUUACAAAAGUCAAGCAAACACUCCAGAAAGAGCAAAAAGCAUGUGCAAAGAAACCCAAAACAGAAUGAGGAGUAGUGGGCUUGGGACAACUCUGUAGAUCUAUCUUGCUAUGAAGGUGAGUGCGAAUUCAUGGCAGGUGAGACUGAAAAUACACGAUAGGGCCAGGGCUUUCUAUAUUUUAUCAUCAAACGUAAUAACAGGUAAUUCAUCUUCAUCUUUACAUACACAACGUUAAGUUGAGUUAUUGGAUUGUAAAAGACAAUAGCGUUCGAAUGAGCGGUCCCAAGAGGAACUGAACUGAGACUUUUAAUGCUCAGGGAUACUCUUCAGAGAACCAGUAGUAUCAAAAUAAGAGUCUCUCAGGACUCCCCCUGGUGGUCCAGUGGCUAAGACUCCCUGCUUUCAAUGCAGAGGAACCGGGUUCGAUCCCUGCUCAGGGAACUAGAUUCCGCAUGCCGCAACUAAAAGUUCACCAGCUGCAACCAAAAAUCCUGCAGGCCACAACAAAGACCAAAGAUCCUGCGGGCCCCAACUAAGACCUGGCACCACCAAAUAAAUUAAUUAAUAAUUGAUCAU
Long non-coding RNA from Cervus elaphus (red deer), 3306 nucleotides. RefSeq lists it as uncharacterized. The transcript has 3 exons. The record is from RefSeq and is a predicted model, not a curated record. NCBI's taxonomy places the organism in Eukaryota, Metazoa, Chordata, Mammalia, Artiodactyla, Cervidae.